CCUACGGGAGGCAGCAGUGGGGAAUAUUGCACAAUGGGGGAAACCCUGAUGCAGCGACGCCGCGUGAAGGAAGAAGUAUUUCGGUAUGUAAACUUCUAUCAGCAGGGAAGAAAAUGACGGUACCUGACUAAGAAGCCCCGGCUAACUACGUGCCAGCAGCCGCGGUAAUACGUAGGGGGCAAGCGUUAUCCGGAUUUACUGGGUGUAAAGGGAGCGUAGGCGGUUUAGCAAGUCAGAAGUGAAAGCCCGGGGCUCAACUCCGGGACUGCUUUUGAAACUGUUGAACUAGAGUGCAGGAGAGGUAAGUGGAAUUCCUAGUGUAGCGGUGAAAUGCGUAGAUAUUAGGAGGAACACCAGUGGCGAAGGCGGCUUACUGGACUGUAAAUGACGCUGAGGCUCGAAAGCGUGGGGAGCAAACAGGAUUAGAUACCCGGGUAGUC
Molecule: ribosomal RNA, 440 nt
Filed under: uncultured bacterium
Lineage: Bacteria
Description: partial 16S ribosomal RNA
Rfam family: Bacterial small subunit ribosomal RNA
Source: RNAcentral